GAUAGAGACUGAGAGUCCAGGGCCUGGGGCCACACUGCCUGGGCUGGAAUUCCAGCCUACCUGCUCAUUCUCUGGGCAACUUCUCUCUCUCUCUCUCUCUCUCUCUCUCUUUCUGUUUGAGAGAGAGUCUCACUCUGUCACCCAGGCUGGAGUGCAAUGGUGCAAUCUCGGCUCAUUGUAACCUCUGCCUCCUGUGUUCAAGCGAUUCUCCUGCUUCAGCCUCUUGAGUGGCUGCGAUUACAGGAUGCCUGGCUAAUUUUUAUAUUUUAAGAUAGGGUUUCACCAUGUUGCCCAGGCUGGUCUUGAACUCCUGACCUCAAGUGAUCUACCAGCCUCGGCCUCCCAAAGUGCUGGAAUUACAGGUGUGAGCCACCAUGCCUGGCCUUCACAGUUUCUCAGUAGAGUUCUUUGGGGAUGAUGGAGAUGGACGUGUAAAGCCCUGUGCGCCAGCUGGACACGGGGUGAGCCCCUGGGCAGCAGCAACACCUGCCAGUGAGGAGUCCUUGGUCCUGUCCUCUUCCCUGCGCUCCCCUUUGGCUGACUGUGUGCCUGCAGAAAGUCCCCCCUUCCUAGGAAUUUUGCCAUCUGAAGACGUUGAUGGAUGUGCUGCCUUCUCAGAUAUUUUCUUAUUUUGCCUUUUGCCAGUAAAUAUUUUGCCCAUCUUUUCUUCCUAUUUCAUAUUUUUUCAUUACUGACAAAAUUAUUAAAUUAGUAUGAGUCUUUUAGGUAGCCGUUAAUUUCAAAUAGGCCUAAUUUGUAUACUUGAUUUUCUCUCCCCACCCGCUCUAGAUGUGGUUACAGCUCCUCCUUCUGUUGCUCAUUUGUGCUAAAAUCAACACUUGCUGCCCUGCAGCCUCCUGUAAACCUUCCUGUGGAUGGCCUGGGCAGAGUUACCUCCAUCAACCUCAUUUCCAGCGCACUGUCUAUCCCCUCCUUGGCCCUUCAGAUGCUUUAUGAAGCCACACAGGGCACUCCUCCUCCUCCCUCCACCAAAUAGAAUUGCUGUCUGUUUUGCCCUAUGUCCUGAUGUCCCCUCCUGUGUUUAUUUCUUCUGGUUUCCAGGACCUAAGCCAGUGCUACUGAGUGAGUGCUCACUGGUGUCUGAGGGGUCAGCAGGGAGGAGUGGAGACCAGCUUGGGUUGGAGAACUGCAUCUACUCUAGGCCUGGCUGGUAGCUGAUGUGAGACCUUGGGCACACUGCUCUCCCAACCCUGGUCUUUGCUUCCCCAUCUGUAAAGUAGUGGGAUUGCAUCUGGAUGAUUGUGAGUGUGCUUUCCCAUGCUGACAUUCUAGAAUCUUCCAUUUCUUCUGCUCUGUGGGCAUUGAUUCAUCUGUCCAAUGGGGCCUGUCUUCACUGUAUGGUAUUGGGUUUAGUGACAUUGGUGUAGUUGGAAUUCCAGGAUGAUGUAAUUGUUGUAAUUGUUGCCAAAACCUUGCUGCUGCCACUGCCUUUUACCACCACCAUCUCCACCAUUACCAUCACCACCUUCAUCACCAUCAUCACUGUCACCAUCACCACCACCACCGUGACUAUCACUGAUACAAUCACCAUUACCACCACCACCACAUCACUAUCAUCACCACCAUCACCACCACCACCAUGACUAUCACUGAUACAAUCACCAUUACCACCACCACCACCAUCACUAUCAUCACCACCAUCACCACCACCACCGUGACUAUCACUGAUAUAAUCACCAUUACCACCACCACCACAUCACUAUUACCACCAUCACUAUCGCCACCACCACCACCACCACCAUACUACCACCACCACCAUCAUUACUAUAAUCACCAUUACCAGCACCACCAUUAUCACCAUCAUCACCACCAUCACUAUCAUCACCACCAUCAUUAUGAUAAUCACCAUUACCAGCACCACCAUUAUCACCAUCAUCAUCACCACCAUCACUAUCAUCACCACCACCACCACCAUUACGAUAAUCACCAUCACCAUCACUGUCACUAUCACCAUUACCGUAGUCAUCACCACCACCACUACCAACAUCAUCACUGCCAUCAUCACCACCAUUGCCACCAUUACCACCAUUAUCACUAUCAUCACCACCAUCACUAUCAUCACCACUAUCACUAUCAUCACCGUCACUACUACCACCACCACCAUCACCACCACCACUACCACCACGGCCAUCACCAUGAUCAUCCCUAUCAUCACCAUCACCACCAGCACCCUAUCACUGAUAUAAUCACCAUUCCCACCACCGCCACCAUCAUCACCACCACUACCACCACUACCACCACCACCAUCAUCACUGUCACCGUCACCACCAUUGCCACCAUUACCACCAUUAUCACUAUCAUCACCACCAUCACUAUCAUCACCACCACUACUACCACUGCCACCACCACCAUCAUCACUGUCACCGUCACCACCAGCACCAUGACUAUCCCUGACAUAAUCACCAUUACCACCACCACCACCAUUAUCACUAUCAUCAUCACCACUAUCACUAUCAUCACCGUCACUACUACCACCACCACCAUCAUCACCACCACUACCACCAUGGCCAUCACCACCAUCAUCCCUAUCAUCACCAUCACCAUCACCAUCACCAUCACCAUCACCACCAGCACCCUAUCACUGAUAUAAUCACCAUUCCCACCACCACCACCAUCAUCACCACCACUAUCACUAUCAUCAUCAUCACCACGGCCAUCACCACCAUCAUCACUACCACCACUUCCUGAGUGCUUGCCAUGGGCCGUGUCAGGUGUGUGGUAUCUAUUACCCCAUGUGGUUUUUACAACUGUCUUUUGGGGAUAUAGAUACCCUUCUCCCGAUUUCAGGGGUGAAACAUCUGAAGCACAGAUAAAUUAUUUGCCUUGGGUUCCACAGCUAGUGUUGGCAGAUCUGACUGCAACGCCAGUCUGUCUGACACCCAAGCCUGCACUCUGACUGCUGUGCCUUGUCGGCCGUCUUUAUUCCCCUCAGGCUGGUUUCCUUUGCUUUUGUGACUGCACAUUUUAUGAGGCUGAGUUCUGUCCAUUGUUGCUCUGUGAUUUGGAGAUGUCCUUACUUCUCUAAGCCUGGGUUUCCUACACCAUAAAAGAGAGAGAGGAAAACCUGCCUCAUGGGGGUGUCUGAGGAUUAAAAAAAUUAUGCUAAUCAGAACCUAACAUAGUGCCUGGUGUAGAAUUAAGUCUUAAAUAUUAGUUUUAGAAUUAUAACGAUUGUAUAUUACAUCAAAAUUAUUAUCCACUCUGUAAUGUUUUCCACAAACGAGUAUUGAAAACCUUCCAUGUCUGAGACCCCGUGUUAGGUGCUGUCUGGACAUCCAGAGCUGAGCAGGAUGUGGUCCCCACCUCCCAGGAGCCCAGUCUGCUGGGGAAGCCAUAAGUGUAAACAGCACAGCACAAGGAAGUCAGACUCAUAACAGGGCAUGAAGCACGCAUGAAGAAAGGGCCAGUGGGGCUGGGUGAGGGGUGACCAUCAGUGUGGACGGAGAGGGUUCACAGCCUUAAAUCACAGCCAAUAAAAAUGAAAGAACAAAAGUAACCGAGUUAGGCUUAUGAUUCAAAAAAGUUAAAAAAAAAAGGACAAAAAAUAAUACACUGAAGAAAAGUAGGAGGAAGCCAUUAACAAACUAAUAGAAUAAUGAAUGGGCCACGAAAUAGAAUGUGGGACCUGUAAAUAAAAGCUGUUUUCUGAAAAAAGUUGGAUGAACCUCUAGCAAAUAUAGUCAAGGUUAGAAAUCAAGAAAGUGGCCUGGCACAGUGGCUCAUGCCUGUAAUCCUAGCACUUUGGGAGGCUGAGGCAGGUGGAUCACCUGAGGUCGGGAGUUUGAGACCAGCCUGGUCAACAUGGUGAAAUUCCAUCUCUACUAAAAAUACAAAAAUUAGCCGGUGUGGUGGUGUGUGCCUGUAAUCCCAGCACUCGGGGAGACUGAGGCAGGAGAACUGCUUGAACCUGGGAGGCAGAGGUUGCAGUGAGCAGAGACGCACCACUGCACUCCAGCCUGGGCAACAGAGAGAGACUCCGUCUCACAAAAGGUAGUCGAGAAAGCCCGAGGAACAUAUAACACAUGAUGAGAAAUAACAAGGGAGAAAUAUAAUUUACCAAACUGACCAAUUUCUAUGGAAAAUAGAAAAUGUUUAAGCUACUCCCACAGAGAGCGUGUGGUCUGGGCGGUCCCACGGGGGAAUUUAAACAAAACCUUUUAAAGAGCAGGUACUUCCAAUGCCAAUCAAAGUAUUCCACAGCAGAGAUAAAGAAGAAAAAGUCUAAGCAAUUUUCCUAAAGUGAGAAUAAAGAUGUUUUUCUUAAUCUGACAAAUAUUGUACAAAAAUAAAACUAUAGACCAGUCACACUUAUAAAUAUCAAUGCAAAAAUUUAACAGAUUAGCAAAUAGGAUCCGAGCACCAUCUUAAUAAUACCCUGUGUCUACUUGCAGUUUAUUCUAGCAAUGCAAGAAUAGUUUAAUAUGAAGAAAUCUAUUUAUAUAAUGCAUGAUAUUAAUAAAUAUAAAGAGAAUUAUUACAUUAUCAUCUUUUUAAUACUGAAAAAGCAUGUAAUAAAAUUCAGCAUUCAUUCUUGAUAAACACUCAGCAAAACAGAAAUUGAUUCAUUCUCAACAUGACUGCAAUCAUACUCAAAACCCAUUUUUUUCUGAAUGUGGAAACACUGAAGUUAAGAAAAAAGCAAGGAUGCCUACUCUUGCUACUACUAUUUCAUAUGGUAGCAGAAGCAUUAGCCAAUGCAAUCAGACAAGAAAUGAGAAGAAUAAAUAUUGGAAAGGAGGGGCUAAAAGUAUUACCCUUUUUAAGAUGAUGUAAUUGUAUACUUGGAAAAUCCUAGAGAAUCCGUGAAAUACUACUACAGCCAACAAGAUAAUCCUAUGUAUGCAUGUAUGCAUGUCCAUAUGUAUAUGUGUGUCUGUCUUUCAAUAAUAAUACAAUGGGAGAAAAGGCCCCUAUUUAUGAUAACAACAAAAAUUAAAUAUCUAGGAAUAAACUUAACAAGAAAUGUGCAAAAUGCAUGUGUAGAAAACUUACAACACUCCUGAAGAGCAUUUUUACACCUCCAUAAACUCUAAAUGGAGCCAAGACUUAAAGUCAGCAAAUAUUUCUUGAAUUACAAUGGAUUCAUUGCAAUUCAAGAAAUAUUUGCUGACUUGAAUGCUUUCCAUACACCAGGCCCUGUUCAGGCACUGGUGAUACAGCAGUGAGCUAAACAGAUAGAAAUUCCUGCCCUUCUGGAGCUUGCAGUCUGGGGGGGAAAAAUAAAUAAGAAAAUUGUACUAUAACUUAGAUAAUGAUAAUUCUUAUGGCAAAGUAUGCUGUGGGGAGAGGAGCCCGGCUGAGGUUGCAGCGUGAAGAGCAGGGGUCAUGAGAGGUUCUCCUGACGUGUGCUGUUUCAGCCGUUGCUUUAAGUCAUUUAUUGUUUAACUUUCCACGUGUUUAUUUUGCAUCCUGAGUUAGCUCAGAAGCUCCUUGCAUUCUCCAUGGCAUACAGGCCUAUAGAAAGAUUCCAAUACAUUAAUUUGUUUGAAUUAUCAAAUUUUAAAGAUUUGAACUUUUCUUUUAAUAUGCCAGAUUCUCUGUACUUAUUCUUGGUCUUCCAGGGUCUUUCCUUUCUGCUACCCCAUAAAACCUUGUUUUUCUGGAAUGGAAAGCCUCCAAAACUCUUACUAUUCAAAAUGUGGUCUUUGGACCAACAUCAGCAUCAUGUAAGAGCUUCUUAGAAAUACCCAUGUUUGAAUCCCACCCUACGCCUACUGAAUUUGAGGAUCUGCAUUUUAAACAAAAUUUUUGGGUCCUUUGUAUUAGUCCAUUUGCAUAGCUAUGAAGGAAUACCUGAAGCUGAGUAAUUUACAAGGAAAAGAGGUUUAUUUGGCUCACGGUUCUGCAGACUGUACAUGAAGCAUAGUGCUGGCGUCUGUUUCUGGUAAGGGGAGCAAGAAGCCUACAAUCACAGCAGAAGGUGAAGGGGAGCCAGAGUGUCACCUGGUGAGAGGAAGCAAGACCCUGAGGAGGAAGUUCCAGGCUCUUUUAAACAGCCAUAUCUCAUGUGAACUCAUGAGCAAGAACUCAAUCUUUACCAGGAGGCUGGCAGCAAGCCUUUCAUGAGGGAUCCACCCCCAUGACCCAAAUGGAGGUUGGCACCAAGACAUUCAUGAGGGAUCCGCCUACCCAUUUAUCCGUCUUCCCAUCCACCCACCCACCCAUCCAUCUACCCACCUUUCCAUUCAUCUACUCAACCAGGCAUCCAUCCACCCCACCCACCCACCCAUCUAUCCACCCAUUCAUCUACUUAUCCCCACCAGACACCACCUCCAACAUUGGCGACUGCAUUUCAACAUGAGAUUUUGAAGGAACAAAUAUCCAAAUUAUAUUACAUGUUAAAGUUGAAAAGCAUUUUCCUAUCCCCAGGUUUUGCAAGUUCCCUUCUUGUUCAGCAGAAAUCAGGGGCUGGGAGAGAGGGGAAUCGCCCUGCUCAUGUUGAUAUCAGCUUCUCAUAGAGUCAUCUCUUCCAACUGCCCUUGCACAGCCUGGACUCUGAAGGGCCUCCCAGGAAGUAGCAGCAAGGUGUGUUGAAAAACUCUAGAACUGUUCUGUCCAAUACGGCAACUACUGGUGACAUGUGACUAUUUAAAUAAAAUUAAAGUGUCAUUUGUUCAGAUUACUAGCCACAUUUCAAGUGUUCAACAGCCACAUGGGGCUAGUGGCUACCAUAUUGGAUAGUGCAGGUAGAGAGCAUUCUUGUCCUCACAGAAAGUUCUAUUGGAUGGCGCUGAUGUAGAAUAUACCACAUCCUAGAUUUUGAGAAAUUUUUUAUUGCAAAGUCAAAUUAUUUCUGUCCAUUUGUUUCCAUUUAUCUCAACAGAGCAUCAUCCUGCUCUCUGUCCAUCCAUCCACCCACCCACCCAUCCAUCUACACAUCCACCCAUCCAUUUAUCCAUUCUUCUAUCCAUUUAUCCACUCAUCCAUCUACCCAUCUACCCAUCCACCUGCCUACCCAUCCAUCUGUCUUUUCAUCCACUAUCUAUUCACCCAUCUGCCCACCCAUAUGUCUACUCAUAAUCCAUCCACUCAUCCAUCUCUUCAUCUAGCCAUUUUGUCAUUCUGUAAAUGAUGAUAGCAUGCAGCGGUACUUUGAUAAAUACUUAUUAAAUAAAAAGUAUAGAAUGGUCUGCUUGUCCUCUAUCCCAGGCUUGGGUACUAGGCAUGUGUGUUUGUGCAUGUGUGUGUGUGUGUGUGUGUGUGUGAUGCACUUCCUUACUAUGAGCUUGAGGACAUGCAUCUGGACUUUCUCCCUGAUGUCUGGACCCCCUUUACUGUAUCAGUUUAGCCUUCCUUGCACCGUAAUCUCUCAAGUCUGUGACUCCUCCUGCCUGAGCUAGUUAAUAAGCUGGCUUCCAUGGAAGAGGUCUGGCUUCAUGGUGCUGCCCUUCACACACAAAAGCUCCAUAAGCUUUUAGGGUGAUACUCCUAGGAGCUGGGAUACCCUCUGGCCUUCUUGUUUCCCUGGGCUCCAGUGCUCUUUAUCCCCAAGCUUCUGUGUUCCUGCCUGGGUGCUCCUAUUCUUGUUCAUGUUCAUGGCCCUAAGGGGCCCUGGCCAGGGAUGGUUUCCCAGACCUCAGAAAAUAAAGGAAGAUGGUCCCAACAGGGAGCAACUGACGCGGGGAUGCAUGAGGGCUCUGGGCGGUGCCUGGCAUGGUGGUCAGCAUGCCCAUGUCCUGCCCUGCAGGGCAGCUGCCCACCGGUUUCUUUGGUGUGUGUGGUCUUCCCAGAUCAUGAAGGUUUUUAGUGAAGUGGCUUCAUCCAUCAUGUCUGUAAAGCCCGGAGUUUUCUCACGUUUUAUGACGAUUCACGUUCCCUGAUCUGACCAGGCCGAGGCCUGGGCCACAGCUGCUGUGCCCUCUCCAUUGUGAUAUUUGGCCCGAUGGUGGUGGUCAGAGGGAUAGGGCAUGAGGCUCGCUGUGGGGAGCAGCACCUGCCAUGCCUCCGUUUGUCUCCCUCUUUGGGGCUCCUCCCCCAGUGCCCACAGGAAGGCCUCAGGCCUGCCCCACUGAGAGUCCCCAUCAUCCUGGGUGUCCCCAGAGCCCCCCUUUGGGUGGGAGGCUGGAAUCACCACCCCAUUUUGACACAGACACAAAUCACUGAUCCUUAAAGAUGUGUUUGGUUCUGUAACCCUGGUAUCAGAUUCACUUGCUCUCGGGUCUCUGCAGAAACCUGAGCUUUGCUGCCUCAAAGCCACAGUUGACUCUAAUUACUCUGGAGCCACAUCCCUCUCCCUGUCUCCAGUGGAAAAAGGGAGGCCAUGAACUCAUACCUGGGACUGUGCUGGACCAGCCCUGGAGGAGUGAGCUGGGAUCAGCCAGGGAGCAGAGCUUCUCUACUGUAGCUCCUACCUGCGGGCUAAGCCCAUCAACCUCCCUUAGGACUUUAAAGUAAGGCCAGCUUGUGCCUGGCAGAACCCAGAGAGACUCAUGAAAAUCCUGAGGCUGUGCAGCUGUCACGUACUGGCCAGGCUUUCCUUAGCCUUCCUGGAAGGGCAGACAAAGCCUGGCCUGGUUAUAAUGGGUGUUUGCUCUGCCCUGGGGACAAGGGACCUUGGGCAGUGCAUCUGCCCGUCCUGAGCUUCAGUUUCUUCAUCCACAAAACAGUGACCAUGAUUCCACCACCUCACAGCCUGGAGAAGAGGAAGGCAUGAGGUUAUGCCAGCAAAGUCCCUUAUGGUCAACGUGGAUUUGAUACAGCCAUGGUUACCAUGGUCUCCAGUGAGGGACUGAUGGCUCUCGCUAGCUUGUAGGCUUUUCAUGAGGAUAAAAUAAAAUGCCAUGAGGUAGCCAUCAUUUAUUCAUUCUGCAGAUAUUUUUUGAGUACUGGUGUGCCAGGUCCUGAAGCAGGCACUGGGGAUACAGCAAUCCAUGUAGCACGUUCCGGAAGACACACAAAUCCCAUGUAGAUGGCAGCAGGCUGUUCUCAAUGGCAGUGGCGGUGGGCUGCAGCAUCUGCACAGGAUGGAAUGUCCGCCAGUUUACAGUUGGGGAAACCGAGGACUGCGCUUGGCCCUUCUCCAGCAUCUGACGCUGCCUGAAGAGCUGCAUUUGUCCUGGAGCUCCUGGGACAGCCUCUUAGUUCAUACCAGCAUCCUGGGUGCAGCGGCGGUUCCUGCAGGCUUUGAGGGAUGGUAACAGCCGUGCCAUGGGGCUGCCGGGCCCUUUGGAGAAGAAGGGAGCUGCUGUCCUCCCAUAGGCAGGAUGCUGACUUGGACCUCUGAGACUUGGGAGUCACGAAAGCCAGGCCUUCUGCUCCAGGAGCACGUGGAAGGGUGAGGUGGGGGCCUGUCCAGAGAGGGCAGCCUCAGGCCAGAGACUCCAGUGCUCUGGUGACCUCUGAAACAAACUGCUGUGUCAGGCUGGGCCCUCCUGGGUAGACUCUGGGAGCUGAGCAGGAGCUGGGGGUGCUGGGAGCUGUGCCCACCACCACCUCCUGCCCUUCCUGCAAGGGAGGUUUAGCCCAUGGUAGAAGCCACCAGCCCUGAGUAGAAACUGCAGGGAAUUUGGUGUUUUCAUAAUAUUUGAGGAAGUCGGGGGAGACAGGAAAAGACUUGUUCAGAGUAUCCCAGGAUAGGGCAAGGAGAGAAGCCGGUCCCUCCCAGGGGGUUGGGGGACCGCCAGCCCUUGGUGGGGCCUCCAUCAGAUGAACCCACUGGUUGCUAGGUCAACUGGAGGGUUGGAGCUUCAAGUCUUUCGCUGGGGUGCCGGGGAUGUCAGCUGAGGUCCGGGAUCUGUGCGUGUUCGUGGGUGUGAGUGCAGCCCAGACACCCAGCCCAGGCUUUGUCCAGGGAGAGGGGCUGUGGUGCAGCCCCCACCUGCUGCCCCCUAAAGCCCUCUGUCUUCCCUCCUGCUCCGCUGGUGUCCAUAGGUGUUGGACGGCCGCCGCUGGAUGGAGUACCCUGGUCUCUUCUCCCCAGUAGGCGUUCCCCAAAAGUGAAGCACACACAGUUCUCAUGUGUGCUGGGGUGUGUGUGUGCUUGGGCAACUGCGCUCAGCUCCAAUUCUGAGGAGAGAGGGACAGGAGGGCUUCUCUGGGGACUCAGCUCCUGAAGGUCCUAUUCUUGGUCUCUUUGUCCCUCCCCGCAAGUAAUGGAUUUUUUAAUAGAAAAGUGAACAGUUGGGGGUGGCUUGAAAGAUACUUUUAUUUCUGAGUCCCAGGGUGGACUCAGGUGCCCCAAGGUAACUGCUCACCUGCUGCCUGGAGGCUCCCUGUCCAGCCCUGGACAGGAGGGUCAAGCCUAGCACCCACCUUCCCUUUCAGUUCCUGGGCAGAACCCCUGCUGAGUAGCGGGUCUCAAGAAUGAGGAAGGGGCCAGGCGCGGUGGCUCACACCUGUAAUCCCAGCACUCUGGGAGGCCAAGGUGGGUGGAUCAUCUGAGGUCAGGAGUUUGAGGCCAGUCUGGUCUCAAACAGGCAAAAGCCCGUUGCUACUAAAAAUACACAAAUUAACCAGGCAUGGUGGUGCAUGCUUGUAAUCUCUAAGGCUAAGGUAGGAGAAUCACUUGAACCUGGGAGUUGGAGGUUGCAGUGAACCAAGAUCACACCACUGCACUCCAGCCUGGGCAGCAUAGGGAGACUCUGUUUCAAAAAAAAAAGAGAAAAGGUUGAGGAAGAUACUGCUGGGAACUCCAGCAGACACAGGGGAACCAAGCCCUGUGCUGCGUCUGGUGCUGCUGGAGUGCCACCAGGGGGGCGGGUAUGGGGGGCUACAGACAAGCCAUCCAUCAUCCCUGUUUAGGGGAGUCUUGCUUUUUGGGGCACUGGAAAUCAAGGGCUUGGAGCAGACAGGGCUCUGUUUAUCCAGAGCCGCAUUUCAGCAGCAGGGCUUUGGCAGUGAGGUUCAUCUGAUGGCCGUUUGUGUGGCUGAAAAGGGAGACUCUAGACACCCGCCGGUGCUCCGUAAACUGUGCUUCCUUUCUGGAGUGACAAGCUGGAUCCUCCCUGUUGGCGAGAGUGGCCUGCGGUUCGGGCUCUCCCCGAGGUCCUGGGCAGGUCUGCAUGGUUGUCAUUCAUCGGUGGCAGCGGACUGUAGAUCAGGGAGAUAGAAACUCCAGGAAGCCGGACUGUGGCUCUGACCUCUCUGGAUUCACCUAUAGCCAUUGAACAUUAUUUGCUUUAAAUUGGUCAUUAUGCAAAUCUGCAAGACGUAGCCACACAUUUGAGAUUUAUCCGAGUCGAAGCAUGAUGGCUUGUGCAGCAGUAUACAGGCACGUAUGUACAUGUACACACACACAGAGUCUGUCUUUCUAACUAGCCAUAUAGGAAUGAUCAAAGAACCUUCCAUGCCCCAUGAGAACCGCCAAAGAAAUGGAGUGAGCCGAGCGAGCUGGCGGGAUGGGUGUGCAUGGGUGCACCUGGGUGUGCAUGUGUGUGCCUGAGUGUGUGUGUCUGGAGCCGUCCUCGUGGCUGUGGGAACCUGGAGCAGGGAGGCGAGGGCUCAGAGCAGCUGGGAACAUGCUGUAAGGGGAAUGGCAGUGUCAGCUGGGAGGCGGAAUUGGAUAACAGGUGGUGGGUCGGACAGCAUCCCCCGGGGAAGGAAUUAAGGCCUUGCCUCUUGUGUUCUUGGAAGUGCUUGGAGGGAAGGCAGACACUGAGCUAACUGGCUGCCUGGAAGGAAGUGACCUGGGAAGCCGGUGACACCAAGUCAGGCCUGGGGGGCCCCUGCUCCCUCUGGGACCCCGGACACUGAGUGUUGCCAAGGUGGCCAAAGUGGUGAGAGGCCAGGCAGGGGCAAGGGCAGAAGGCCUGGGGUGGUCUCAGGAGGGGCCCCUGCGGCCGUGUCCUCAGCCAGGCUGUGCUUUCUUUUCUUCUCCAUGUUGCUGGGGAGCCUCCCAUCAGGCGAAUAUUGGCCUCUUGAUCCAAAACCCGAAUACUCUGGCCCCUUCUGUCUUUCUGGGUAGAUGUGCCCCUCUGGCAGGGAUGAGGGAGAGGGCAGGGAAUGGGGACCCUGGACACCCUUCCCAGAGUGGGAUUCUGAUCCCUGCUCUUAGCAUGAUGCAGGUGCAAGGAUCGACAUGGACUUCUUUCUUUUUAAAAAUAAGCCAAAUCAAAGAUGCUCUGAGCAGUGGAGAUGAAAAGGUAGAGCAGCGUUGUCUGCCCCCUUCUGUGCUCCUUCCCCCCAGGAUUCAUUAUUGUUUUUCUAGAACAAGAAGGAAAGAGUUUUAUUUGUAGGAACUUUCUUUCUUUCUUUCUUCCCCCCCCCCCCCCUUAAUGAUGUGGUGGGUGGCGGUGGUAGCAUGUUUUUAUUUUAUGUUAUUUUUUGUCCCUUGCUGCUUUGGGGGAGGGUGGUGGUGUUUGAGUUUGGGGUGCGGGUGUUGGGAAAGGAGUUCUCUUGGAGAGGAGAGAGGAGAGCAGAUGUUACUCCCCCAUGUCUAGAAGGUGGGGGGAGGGCGUCACUGCUCAGGAGGUGAGGAAGGACCCGAGUUAUGUAAGAGCUUCAAGGAGGCGGCUCGGGGGACUAGACAGAGUCUGAGGACACAGGCUUGCACCCUGAGCCCUGGGAAGGCAGCCAGGUGCAUCUGCAGGGAUCCUGGUGGCUGUGGUGGGGCAGGUGCGGCGAGGGCAGGUGGAUGGCAGGAGUCAGGGUUGGCAGGGGAGGCAUGGAGGGUGGGGCACCCCGGCAGGAGGAGCAGACUUCUCGAAGCUGCAAGGGGGGCUCCUGAUCUUCCUGCGCCUUCUUUCUCUUUUCUCCUCUUCAUUCUCUGCUUCUCUGUCACCUCCUUCUCCAAAUCAGUGCCCCAGUGACUGGGGAGACAGCUCCCCCGUUUUCUGUAUUUCCUCGAUGCCUCCUUCCACCAGCAAUCACCGCGCUGAACAGAGUCAGCCCACGGCGAGGGCCCAAUGUGCCAGCCUGCCUGAGCUCACAGCUUCCUUGGGGGCUGAUUCUGGUACUUUUCCGUUGUAUAGAUCUCCAGGUUUCUUCCACGAGGCUAGAUGAAAUGCCACGCAAGUGAUAGUGAGAUAGGGACUGGCCAGUGUCGGUCCAGGUACUACACCAACCAGCCCUCUGGGCUCAGCUUAGUCUCUGGCAACAUGGAAGUGCCUGACCCCUAGGGUCACUGUGAGGUUAGAGCAGGACCGUCUGUGGGCCUUACCUCCACCUUAGCACACUGGAGGAGCUGUCACUGCCCAGGGAUGGGGUGAGGGGCGUUUCAGAGCCUCUGCUCCGAGGUGCACGUUUCCCUUGCUUGGUGCUAGAGUUCCUCUGACUACCCCCUCUCAGGCUGCUUGGGGGCACCCUGGCUCGGGAGAAGGGGGCUAACCCUGCAUCCCACCCUUGCCCCACCCGGCCCACCCUGGCUGUGUCUUUCCUUGUUGACCAGUAGCUCUGAAUUACUGCUGGACGGUAGCCAAGAAUCACACCGUGCUGUGGAAUUCAAGCUCCAUCUGCACUAAUGAGUUAAUGGGCUUUGUACCCGAGACCGUGGGGCUGGAACAUGCGCUGCAUGCUUAAUCUUCACUGAGCAUUUCAUCUACCUUGGUUGGUGUUUAUUUAUCAGCUUGUUUGUUUAUUCCUUUUCCUCGGAGGCCCUGAUCAAGGAGGAGCUGGUGAAGGAGGGAGUGUGAAGUUGGCAAGAAGGGCUUGGUUUUGCUCUGUUCUGAGUGGCUGAAGCCUACCCCGCGAGAGACGGAGGGUGUUGAGCACCUGUGUGGUUCCGAGGGGGUCCUGCUUGUCAGGGGUGGAAAUCUACCCUCAGAGGGGGGUGAAUGCUGAGGUUUCAGGUAGCCUUUCGCUGGGGGCCACUGUGAUGCAAUUUUGGGCGGCUUAUCUGAGCUUUUGCUUAUCAGGGAGUCACAGUGAAGGCAGCAUUGGGCUCACAGAGCCUUGCAGAUGCAGCAAACCCGCACCUGUACUGUCCUGUGGUCCUGGCACAGAGAAGAUGCUCAGGAAGCCGUGGCGGAGGUGAUUUCAUGCUGGUCUCCUGGUGGUUUUGGAAAAUCACUCAUUACCAAGGUUGCAGAGAUAUGGUUCUGAGCAUUGGAUGUAUUCUCCUUUACGGCUUAGCUGCCGGAUGCUGGGUUACAUGUGUCCGAAUGGUUGUCUUUUAGGCUUGGGGUUGUGGUUCUGAGGGAGGCAGCUGUGACGCACAGGGGUCUGUGCCUGCCUGGACCCGGAUGGCAGCUGCCGGCCACAGGAGAGAGCUGGGGAACUGACAUGUGCAGAGUGAAAAACGCAGACCAACUCCAAGACCCAGAACACACACAAAGCAUGUGAAACGCAGGACCAGUAACGCUUAUACAGAUUUUACAUAUUGACCCAAAAUAUUUGGAAUAUAUUGGGUUAAAUAUGUGAUUACAAUUAAUUUUACUUGUUUUGUGAAAAAAACCCUUAGAUUUCGAGACGGGGUCUCUCCCUCUGUUGCUUAGGCUGGAGUGCACUGGCGUGAUCUCGGCUCACUGCAAUGCAACCUCCGCCUCCUGGGUUCAAGCAGUUCUCCUGCCUCAGCCUCUGGAGUAGCUGGAAUUAUAGGCACCCACCACCACGCCAGCUAAGUUUUGUGUUUUUAGUAGAGACGGGGUUUCACCACGUUGGCCAGGCUGGUCUUGAACUGCUGACCUCAGGUGAUCCACCUGCCUCAGCCUCCCAAAGUGCUGAGAUUGCAGGUGUGAGCCACCACGCCCAGCCUAGAAAACUUAAAAUUGCCCGUGGGACUGGCAUGCUAUUUCUGUCAGACAGACUGGUCCAAACCCAGCUUCCUGCACAAUUUCAUUCCCUUCUCCUUGGCACUUGCUAACAGCAUUGGGGCACCCCUGUGAGUCUGCGAAGGGCAGCUAGGAAGGGUGAAGCUGCUCUGCCCUUCGGGAGAGACCCCUGAGCUGUCUGAAUUUGUGUCUGCCCCAGUUAGAUACUGCUAGCGUUUUCAGGAAACAAUUUCCAGCUUUGUAAAUAUCCAUUGAAAAAAAUAAAAAGGAAUCUAUUAUUUUGUCAACCUUCACAACAACCUGAACUUAUAAAACACCUCUCACAUGAAGGUCUCGGAGCGCUGCACGAUAAACAAUACAUGGAAAAAAAGUUGGCGUUCUCCUGGAGUUUCAGGGCAGCAGAGGACGUGCUUUCGUUCUGUGAAAAGAAACACUUACAGGAAGGCCCCAGCAGCCCCUUGUGGGGAUCCUGGAGGAGCUCCGUGCUCCGUGGCCCACCUGGUGACAUUGGCAGGAGGUGUCACUCUGCUCUCAAAACUGGUGCCAUCCAACGUGAGGGCCCUGCGACAAGCAAAAGAGAGAACGGAGAGGGACCCUGCUGGGGAGAUGAAGAAAGGUAACUGAUCAGAACAGAAAGGGCUGAGACAAAGCCAGACCUUCCACUAAAUCCUGCUCCAGGGUGGCGGUGUCUUGCCAGGAGCUGGGUGGGCCUGAAGAACUAUCUUGAGGCCUAGGGGUCUGAUGGCAACAGCGUAACUGACUGGGGUACAGAGAGAGCCGCGGCGGCUUUCCCGUCACCAUCACGUGGGCUUGUGUGUCAAGGGGAGAAGCUGUGUCCCUUCCGCUGUUCUUGGCUUUAGGUCCCUGGAGUGCUAAGGACAGAGCUGCUUCCUCCCAAGGGACAGGCGGACCCGCUGCGGGCCACAGGCUCCAGGCACCAUGGGCACUUUGUAUACCGAGUAGGGUGGUACAUUGUAAGCUUCUCUUAUUUUUAUUUUCUCGUUUUUGACAUUGUCCUUCAGUUCCUCUUCCACGCUCCCCGUUAAGCUGUUAAAUCACUCCAUUUAUUUAGUGUGAGUGUUUCUGAGAGCUCAUUUUUAUCUUGGUGAAAACCAGGCUUGCUCAUGGGCACAUAAUGAAAUUGCAUAAAUAUACCCUUAGCUUGGAAUCUAAUUUAUUUUUCCUGUUCAUUAUGGGGUAGAAGGCCAUUAUGAAAUGUAUAACUUUUUUUUUCCAGUGCUGGAAUUGAAAGGCUGUGGCUUGGGCUCUUUUUAUUCUGAUGAUUUUGUCCUGAUUCAAUUUAAAGCUGGUUAGAGCUCAAAUACUGGAGCGUAAUUGACAAAGAUCAGUGUGGGUUGUAACACUAAUGUCUCGUCUGUGGCUGCUGCGGCUCAGCAAGCACUCGGGUUAAGCUGCAGUUCCUCGGAGGAUACCGGGGCCUGCAGAGCCACCCAGGCCUCAAGGAGAGGGGUGAGAGGGAACUUUCCUGCCACUCGUGGUCCUGGGUGUCCAGCUGGGACGCUCGGAAGUCGACUCCAGCUGGCACUAACUGGAUUGUUCAGCUGAGGAUGCCACCGACCCUAAACUCUCGGAAAUGCUUAGAAACCUGUUCAAGAAUGUUUCUUUGACCUCUGCUUUUACAGAUGGGAGCACUGAAGCUCCAGAAGGUCGAGCAAUCCACAACCUCCAGGCCCAAAUGCAGCCCACGUCCAUGUACUAUGGCAGUACACGCGUGACAUGGAGCCUCCCUUUGGAAGCAGUGGCCUGGGCCCCUCUGUACGGGGGAGUGUGCAUUGCGUGGGAGGAGAGGACAGAAGGAGCACCUGGCAGUGGGCAGACCCCCCAGGAUGCCAGCUUUGGGGUAGAUGUGGGGCAGUCCUGCCUGACAUGCUGAGGAGGAGCCUGGGACUGGGGCCCGGAUGCCUUGUGUCUUGAGGAAGUGGGUGCCAGCCCCACUGCCGUGCGCCAGGGCCCACACUGUUCAUUUGUCUCCCUGCAUUUGCCAGCUCCCUUCCCUGUGCUGGGCACCACCAGGCUGGGACACAGCGCUGGAAAGCCCCGGACCCUGCUUCAGAGGCUCAGGUCUCAGCAGGAUGAGUUUGAAGCGACAUCCUGGCUCUCAGGUCUGAGCCACGCUGAACGUCGGCGUCCAUAGAAAUGCUGGGGCAGAGUCAGAAUGUUCUUGGAGGGUGAUAAGUGGUCGACACCUGUGAGUGUGUGUGUGUACGUGUGAUUAUCGGGAGGAGGAGGCAUCACCCUGGACACAGCAGGUUUUCAUGAGGAAGGAGAGGAGGUGGAUCCAUUAAAAUGGCAGAGGUUGGUGAAGCUUUCCUCCUUUUCCUCCCUUUGUCCCUCGGGUUGUCAGACAAGACACAGGCCAUGCAGUGAAAUUCGGAUUUCAGAAGAAAGACGGAGGUUUUUUGUACAGGUAUGUGCCACACAUCGCCUAUCGCAUGAGACCUGCUUACACUAAACACCGAAGCAAAACCGUGCUGUUCAUCUGAGACUCAAAGUUAACCGUGCCCCGUGUUCCUGUUCCCUACAUCUAGGACCCUACCUGCCACAGCACAGAGACUUGAGAGGCUUUACUUUGAAAUCAUGGUCUUGGUCAUUUAAAAAUUCAGUUGCGAGAGCUAUAAAGUUGUUUGUUCUUACAACACAGAAAAUUAAUGGUCUGCUUUCUCCCUCCCCGGAUCCAAUGCUUCUGGGGCGACCUCUGACCUCCAGUUGUUAGCCACUGUUAACUUGAAGUUGUUAACCAAUGUCUCCUCCCAAACCAGUGCAGAGACCCUGCCGUGCACCACAUGCAGGUUUCCUGGAGAAAAUCCCACCAAUAGACUUACUGGGGCAAGGGUCUGUGCGUCUUACAUUUUAACCUAAAACUAUACCUGGGUUACUUUAUAAAAAGUCAAAAGUAUUGACAUCCCUCCACACUGUGUGAGUCUUUGUUUUAUUCCCACACCAACACCAGUUCUUAUUUGUUUCCACUCGAGACGGCACCUCACUCUGUCCCCCAGGCUUGAGUGCAGUGGUGCAAUCGUGGCUCACUGCAGCCAUGACCUCCUGGGCUCAAGUGAUCCUCCCACCUCAGCCUCCCAAGUAGCUGGGACUCCAGGUGUGCGCCACCAUGCCCUCCUAAUUUUUCUAUUUUUUUGUAGAGAACUGCUUUUGCUAUGUUUCCCAGGCUGAUCUCAAACUCCUGAGCUCAAGCAAUCCUCCUGCCUCAGCCUCCCAAAGUGCUGGGGUGACAAGCGUGAGCCACCACACCUGAGCAGUUUUUAUUUCUUAUUUUUCAUUCUGAGCAUAUAAAACAUCUCAUUUUAGUUGCAUCUCCCAGUUGAGGAAGGUUGAGUAUUUUGUGUGCGUUUCUUGGUCAUUUGCAUGUGUAUUUCUGUGAACAGCCUGUUCACAUACAUUUUCCUUGUUUCCAUGGGGUCGUUUUCUUAUUAAUUUCAGGGUACUCUUUACAUAUGGGUCAUACCCAUGCUUGGCUUUAUAUACAGUGUUGACGUUGCUUCUGGGCCGCUGUGAUCAGACCCUCCCCUGAUCUCUGGGGCUGAGACCUGAGCUCACUGUGAUGGCCUUCUGGGUCUCCUGGGAAUGACAGAUGUCCAGCCCACACAUGGGCACCUGUUGCCUGCCAAUCUCAUCUUGGGUAUGAAGGAACCACACAGAGCCCAAGAUCCUCUAUGAAUGCAUUGCCGGUACUGCCCUAAAGGCAGGGGUUGGCCAGGAUGAUUCUCAAAGCCCACCCGCCUUUCCUCUCCUGCUGUUACUGGGCCCAGGGAAAGCUCAGCUCCAGAGCAGGGAACCUGGCCUUGGAAGGGAGGUGGCACAGAGGCUUCCUGCCCUGACUGGUCGUCCCUGCCUUCCCCAAGGCCAAAUUUUCCCUUCACCACAGGGAGGUGCCUCAUGGGCUCCCAGGUGGGGGGCAGGGGCAUAGAAAGGAAAACCUCCAGCUGCCUGUCUCUGCUGAAGCCAGGUCAUCUGUGCAUCGUUCAUUCCUCUGUCCAUCCAAAUGGCUUAGUUAAAUUCCUGCUGCACGCCAGGCACACACAGAGGCUCCUGAUGCCACAGGGCCAUUAGCCUGCGGGAGAGAAGACUCAUUGUGUUGUUGCGUGUAUUCACUACAGCCAGGGAAGGGGCGGCUCCUCUUCGGGAGGUUUUACAUGUUGGGGUUUGUGUUUGCAACAUAGUCAAAUGGUGAAAGGACAGCCCGGCUCAAGGGGAAGAGCUGACUGGCGUCUCUGCCCAACCCCUGUGCUGGGCUCCAGAGUGCUGCGUGUGGAGACCCUGCCCAGUGCUGCCUCCACCAGCACCCCCACUCACAGUGCACGAUGCACAUCUGAAGGGAAGCAUCUACCCUGCCCCCACUAGCCUGUCCUCCUGGGACACUUGGGGUCCAUUCUGUGACUUGCUGUGUAGGAGGGACAGUGACCACCUAGGGCUGGCCUGGCCCAGGAGCUAGGCACAGAGGGACUCACCUCCUCAAUUUGGGGUAGAGAGGCAAGGGUCAUAAUUGGAGCUGGGAGCCUUGGGGGACUGGGGAGAGGGUAGGCCUGUCACGUUGCUCCCCAGUUUCAAGGUCUGUCAUGGGCAGGAGGAAGUAGAUUUGUCCCUUUUUGUUCAAAGGCAGAAACAGGACCUGUGGGCGAGGGUUCUAGGGAAACAGAACUUGGCCAGUCUAAGGGAGUCGUUUGUCCAGCAUGGCCCAGGAGGAGCAAGGACCCUGUCCCCUCUUUGGCAUUGUGGGGGACACCCACUGUGGCAGGCUGGCUGUGUACCCCUCAUAGCCAAAUCCUAACCUCCCACACAUGUGAAUGGGGCUUUACUUGGAAAUAGGGUCUUUGUCAUCAAGUUAAAAUGAGGGUGGGCCCUAAAUCCAAUGGCUGGUGCCCUUCUAAAAAGAGGGGAGGACAGAUGUACAGGAGAGGGCCCAUGAGGACAGAGGCAGAGCUGGGAGUGAUGGGGCCACAAGCCAAGUGCACUGAGCACUGCUGGUAACGCCAGGGGAAAGGGAGGAGCCUUCCCUAGCAUCUUUGGAGGAAGCAGGGUGCUCCCCGCACCUUGAUUUCAGACCCUGGCCUCCAGAACUGUGAGAAGAUAAAUGUGUGUUGCUUUCAGCCAGCACGUUUGUGGUGAUUUGUUAUGGCAGCCACACAUCACACACAUGCCUGCCAAGCAGGUCCCUGUCCUGCUUCCCGGCUCCAUCAGAGGAUGGAUGAUAUAGUGUGGGCCUCUGCAAAGUGCUAAUCCAGGGCGGGGCACACUUGCCCUGUGGCUGGUUCCUUCAGUGGGAAAACACCCGUGGCUGAGGAGGCCCAAGGGUGACAGGCUUUCCAUCAGGGCAGUGGAUCACCGUUGGCGGGGCUGAGGCAGCCAAGGUGGGUGUUUUGGAGCUGUAAUUAAACAGGGCCACUGGGCUGGCAGAUUAUAGAUGCCCAGGCUUCCUCAGUGCUGUAUUUUACUGGAACACACAUAACCUGGCCUCUGCAGGGCAAGACAAGGGCACGUCUGACAGUGAUUAGAAUAAUGGGGUGGGCUGGGUGUCGUGGCUCACACCUGUACUCCUAGUACUUUGGGAGGCUGAGGCAAGUGGAUCAUUUGAAGUCAGGAGUUCGAGACCAGCCUGGCUCACAUGGUGAAACCCCAUCUCUACUAAAAAUACAAAAAUUAGCGAGGCAGUAGUGGUGCACACCUGUAAUCCCAGCUACUUGGGAGGCUGAGGCAGGGGAAUCACUUGAGCCUGGGAGGCAGAAGUUGCAGCGAGCUGAGAUUGUGCCACUGUACUCCAGUCUGGGCAACAGAGUCAGGGUGUCUGAGACUGGACUGCCUGGCCAUAGGGAUUGCAGCUCUCUCUCCCUGGCCAGCUUAAUUCUAGCCAGGAAUGGAAUUUGGGAGAGGGAAGGGAGAGCGGGCCUGUUGAUGCUUGGGAAGCUGUGGAGAGAGGGCCCCAUGGAGAUGACCCUGCCGCUGCUGGUCAUGGGCAGGGGUGCAGUGGUUGGGGGAGCUGUGGAGGGGGUUUGUGACUGAGGGGGAGCAGAGACCAACCCGUGGCCCCUCUCUGUGUGGACUCUUCCCACCCUGUUCCUUGGAGUAAGUGGCAGAUGGUGGCCCUUGAAAAUGCAGACAGCUCAGCACUGCAGGCUUCCUGGGCGUAGAGGACAGGUUAUUCCUGUGUCAGGAUGACUGUCACCAACACAGACAACCUUGCCUAGUUAGGCAUGCUGUGUCUUUGCGGGCUGGCUAUCCCGAGCCCCCAGAAUGUGGUCUGGCCAGGCCUCCCAGCCAUGCAGCUGACCUGCAAGCCCAGGAAACUUGGAGCGGCAAGCAGCCCCCUUCUACCCUGUGGGUCAUCUGAGGGCCUCAUUCAUUUGGGGUGAUUCACUUGGGCAACAGGGGAGAAAGUGAAGGAAUCGAGAGCUUGGAGGCCACUGUUCCCUCAUGACACUCUCCGAAGGCAGGUAGGAGCGAGCUUUGCUGGAGAGAGGCCUUGCUGGUGUGCUGACUUCCGGGACCCUCUGUCAUCCUCCCUCUUCUCCUGACCUAUGGGUGAUCCCCAGAUCCCACCAAUGAGACAAAGUGUCUUUCGGGGGAGGGAGGACAGGAGUUGGCUUCUGUAAACAGCACUUGGCUUCUGAGAGGGACCUUGGGGUGCUGCCGUGGAGCUCCGGCUUCUAGCCCAAGGGGGAGGCUGAUGCUGAGGGCAGCAGAGCAGGCAGGGGACAGGACCCGUGUCCUUGUGGCAUAGAGAGGGAGGGGCUGAAUUACCUGGCCUGCAGCUGCCACAGCCUGGACUUCCUGUCACAUGACCAGCACGCUUCCUUGUGGCUUCAGCAAGUUUGGGUCAGGUUUCUGUUGGUGCAGGUGAAAGUAUCCUGAUUCAGCUGGGAUUCCUCUGGGUGUAAGAGCUGCCCGCAUGGCAGCCCCCAAGAGCUGAGUCUCCCAUGCUUCUCCCCUCAGCCCUCGUCUCUCUGGGCCCAGUCCCUGGGGCACUUGUCAAACCGACUUCCAAGGAGGGCGACCACCUCCCUCUGUCUCCAUUUUGCACGUGGCAGGUGGGCAUUUUCCUGAAGGGGCUUCCCUAAAGCACAUUGAGAAGGGAAACUGGAAUUAACUGGGGAGACCUGAUAUGUGACCAGUGAUGUUUGAUGAGCAUGAUUUCAUCUCCAGAUGCCACUGUUAGGUCACGGGUGGGUCUGGGGGCUGGCAUGGCAAAGAGUGUUCACUGCUGGUUCUACCCCCGGAGUCACCCUCUUUCUUGGAUUUGCUACCAAGCUUCAGGGACCAGUGGUGUGGAACCGCCUCUGGCCAUUUCCGAGGUUGGACUGGAGAGGGUGUCAGCCCCUCUAGGACCUGGGGAUCACUGGGCAGACCCCACAGAGCUCCCAUUUCAUAUGUGAGGGAAGCAUCUCGCUCUUCCCAGAGCCGAAGUGAGUCCUGUGGGACCCCCUUGGAUUCGUUCUAACCCCUCCCACCUCCCUCUGACGACUGCAGUCCUACAGCCUCAGAAAUAUCCAGACAACGUCCCACCUGCAGGGAGGGGCAGGCAGCCCUGCAGAACAGUGACGCCGGCUCCUCCUGAAGCCGUCACCAGCUAUGGGCAAUGGGGUGUCCUGUCUCAAGCCAGAUGACAUUUUGGUUUUUUGAUAUUGUAGAAUUUGGACUAAAGAGAGAAAACACGUUUGUUUGCAAAGGGCAUUUUCAUACUGAAUGCUUAAUUGCCAGUUUCCGUGUUGAGAAAUUUCCUCUCCUGCCCUCAACCAUCCCUUGGGUAGUUGCUGUCUAAUUCGGCCAUUUAAAAAUGCUGUUGUGGAAGAAUACUUAAUGAUUUGGUAUGACAUAGAGUUAAAAGGGAAAAAGUUACAAAAUGGAAUGUACAGUAUGAUCCCACUUAGAACCCAAAAUAUACAUUCUAUGCAUAGGAAAGUCUGGGAGUGUAUAUAUGCUCAAAAUUUUCACAGGAGUUAUUUCGGGUUAGUGGGAUUAUGGGUUAUUUUUAUUUUCUUCUUUUUGCAUAUGUGUAGUUUCUAAAUUUUCUACAGUGAAUAUGUAUAACUUUUAUAAUAAGGAAAAAGUGAUACCACAGAUCUUUCUAGAGGCUGCUCAGACUCCCUGGCCAGAGAUGACCCAGGCUGCCCUCCCAUGCUGCAAAGCGCCCAUGACCAGCCCCUGGGCUCCCCAGUGGGGCCACAUCCUGAGAACUUCCCGUUCCCCGUCGCUGGGUAUCAAUGCCUCAUGCUCAGGGGCCCCUGGCGGUGCAGAGUUGAUGCUGGUUUUUGUUAGGGUUGAAGUAAUGGAAAUGCUUUUCAGAAAACUCCCCCAGUUGGCCGGGAGAGAAAGAAACAGUCAUGGAAGCCCAGAGGCCCCACCCCGGCAGGUGCAGACUGUGCUGAGCACAGAGCCAUGGGUUUGAUGUUGAGCACGGAGGGGUGGGUUUUCAUGGCCACCCUCAAUGGCAGCGUCACCAUUCCUGUUCUGCUGCCACCAGCCAAUGGGCAUGGCCAGGUGCAGCCUUGGGAGGAUUUUUGAGGUCUGGACUCGACUCUCUGCCUCCAGCUGGGGGGGGGGGGGGGGACAAAGAACUCAGCCUGUCCCUGCCCUGGGGCCAUUCUGCAAAGGAAACAUGGGGCAGAGGCCAUGAAGUAGAGCAGGCAUGAAAUGCCCGGUUCAAAUCCCAGCUCCCCCAGCUGGUUCUUAGGAACUUCUCUAAGCUCAGUUUCCUUCAUCUAGAGAAUGGGGACAAUGCUUCCUUCACAGGCAUGUGAAAGCUGAAAGAAAUGAUGAGAGUCAGGACCUUGCGUGGACCUGAGACAGGGCAAGUGCUGCGUCUUUCUUUCCUUGAAGGAAUGCUGCCUCCAGCUGGGGACUGCCCUUUCCCUUGGUGUAAACUGGUAAAGUCCGCUGCCAGAGCUUCUGUCUGUCAGCUGAAUCAAACACACACCUGCUGAGAGCAGUUUCGGCAGGGGCUGCCCCUUCUCCAACAUGCAGCAUGCAUGUGUGCACACACUCACACACACGUGUUUAAUAGUCACCUGAGGAAAGAGGGUCACGGGGCAGGAAUCGGUGCCUGUGGCCUUGUCUGUGUCCCAGGAUUAUAGAAGGUUAUUGCCCUGGCAAUGUGAGGGCAGCAAGGCCAAGACUCUGUGCCCCAUGCCCUCUUUCCACCUUGUCAACAGUGGGGACAGAGGCAGGGGCCCCCGGCUGCUCCUUCCUGAAGAGCAAGCUCCCUGUGGUGGCAUCUGUGGCUCCCAGCCUGGAGCGUGGACCUCCACUGCUGACUAGGUUACUUCCACUCCUCCAGCCUCCCAAAUGUGGCCCACUCGCCUUGGAUCUGACCCUUUCUGUCCAUAUCUGUAGCCACUGCACCAUUAUCAGCUCUGGCCGAGCCUCCCUGCCUGCAACCUGGUUCCUCCUCUGUCCGAAUCCAGAGGCUUCUCUGCAACGCAAAUUAACUCACCUGGGCCCCACCUCAGCCCCCUCUGUGCUGCCCCAGGCUCUGCAUGGAGUCCCAGCCUGCAACUGGCUAGCCUCGGGCUAAGUCUUCUGCCUUUAGGAGCUGCAUGGGAUAACGUGUACAAAGUGGAAACUGAGCCUUUCUUUUCCUCCUCCCUCUUCCCCUUUCCAGGGCAGUUAUUCACACUCAGAUCAUUUGCCCUGAGGACAACUUUGUGAAGUCAGGUGAGAGGCUCCAGGGUAAUUCUGGUGCUGCCACCUGAGAAGAAAUUAAGCCAAGAUCUAAAAGAAUCCCCACACGUGGCAGGGGGUCAUCUGUAUUCAGGUCUGCCUUACUUUGUGGGAACCUGAGCCCCUGACGUGCACACCCCUGGAGGUCCCUCCCCGGCAGCAGCUGGCCCCUCUGGCAGGGUUUGCUGCAGCCGGCACUGUCCGGCCUGCUGUGUGCGGAGCAGUGGUCAGCGGCCCCGGUGGUCAGCUGUGAGGGAUGCAUCCCUGAUGAAGGUGAGUCAUGGAGAACGUGAUUGAUUUGCCCAAAUUGCAUGGACACAGAUUUUCAGGAACCCAUCUGGGCUUCAUGAGAGGUAGAGCUCUUUCGAUUCUAGAUUCCCAGGGAGCUUAUGUUCUGGGGAAACUGGGUGCGUUUGCUGCCAAAAAGGGCUUUAUUUUUAGCUAAAUGUGAGGAGGAGAGGAGGGUCCCCUUGGAAGGCUGCCAAGGCUGGUGUUGGGACUGGCCUUAGAGGGGCCCAUCACCGUCUUACUUUUGGGAAAGGUUUUCCCUUCUGCAAGCACCGACGUGGGCUGAGAUGUGAGGGCAUGGCCAGGGUGGGUUAUUCCGCCUCCCCCAUGAACUCAGAUGAAUACCAAAAGCAGCCAGCCAGCACACGUUCUAAAUUUACAGGGCGCUUGUCCUUCACUGGCUGCCGAAAAGUGAAGCUGCCUCGGAUGCUAAGAACGCUCAGCCGCCAAGCUGCCCAGGCCCACCUGCUUGCUGGGGCCGCCCUCGUCCGCACACUCAGCCAGCCUCCUCAUGUCCACCUGGGGCCUCCGGGCGGCGAGCAGAGGCUGAAAGGGAGGGUGGGCACCUGCACUGCAGACCCUCCUGGGAUGGCGGCAGGAGUCCCUCCCCCAUGGGUUGAAAUUCUGUCUGUGAGAACCUAACCUUCUUCCUGUGAUACCUGCUCUUCCCUGGCAACCCUCCUUGCCAAGGACCAUCCAGAAAUAGCCCCUCUGGGGCCUCCCUGUACAGCAAAGCAGACGUCUCCUCCCACUACCAGUCACAGCAGCCAGAGGAAAUUCUGCCACCAUUUUCCCGGAGCUGGUCUGCAGCCCCUCCCGCUGGGAACCUGUUCCUGGAGCCAUCCCUCUGCACACAGAGAGCCCAGAGUGCCUCGGGGAAAAUUGGCGGAAUAAAAGCCGAAUGAGAAUGGACAAAUACAGCCAUCACUGACACCUUAGCAAUACUGGACCCUCUGACUCAUAAACAAGGUAUUUCUCUCCAUUUAUUUAGAACUUCUUUAAUUUCUCUCAUCAAUGACUUGUGGUUUUCAGUGUAUGGAUUUUACACAUCUUUUCUUAGAUUUAUUGCCAAUGUCAUUCGUAUUUUAAUGCUUCUUAAAAUGAUAUUUUUCUUUCCGUUUCUGAUUGAUUAUUGUUAGUGUAUAGAAAUAAAAUAGAUUUUUGUACAUUGAUCUUGUGUCCUGCUAAAUCCAUUUACUAGUUCUAGUAGAUUUUGUGUCAAUUGCAUCAGGUUUUCUACAUAAAUGAUUGUGUUAACAAAGACAAUCUUAUUUUACAAUAAAUACAGCCCCAAUGUGCCCGGGGCUGUAUUGUUCCUGCUACUAAGGCAAGACUCUGCAUGCUCUACCCAGUGCCCCAUGAACAGUAAAGAGUUCCCCCUGGUCCAAUCUGACUAGUGAGGACUGAGCUACUCCUGGCCCUGUGAGGGUGCUGAGCACUGGGUCCCUAGUCCCUCGUCCCUCCAGGGAGUUCUUGCCUCAGCCUUGGGUGACUUCCUCCCAAGCUUGUGCUGAUCAGUGCUCAGCUGAGUGCUCAGUGGGACCCUCUGAGUAUCUAUAGAGCUCUUUCUCUGUCCAGCUCCUUCUCCCUGCUCUGUCUUACAACUCUAGCCACCUUGUCUCCCCACCUCUCAGCCCUGUCUCCUCAACUCGGGAGUACAUGAGGCUUCACGUGGGGUCCCUGCACCUGAAAACUUCCUCCAGUCAGCUGGGACGAUUGUGCCACUCCUCUAUGGCCAGCGCUGGGGGUCGCUGCACUUCAUGGUGUCUUGUUCAGUGUCAUGAAAACUAUUCUUCAGCUUGUUAUUGUUCUAGGAGGCAGGCACAUCAGUCCCCAUUUCUCCAUCUUGACCAGAAGCAGAACACUUUUCUUCGUCACACCAGAUCCGUCUCCGCAGUAACUGCCUGGCUGCUGGAACACAUCCAGGCACAUACACAGGCUGGGCCUGGCCCUUGUCCCUAAUCCCCUUCGGGGGAAAGGAGUGAGCGUGCAGGGCUGUCAGAAGCACUCGUGGGCCUGGGACACACAGUCCUAGUGUAGAGACAAACACCUUUGCUUCCCAGGCCUUGAGAAGAGCCUCCUCUCCUCAACGGGGAGCACUCUGCAGGAGCCAGGACUUAGCUCUGGAGGCUUAACAAGGCGCUUCACAGCGUUUCUUCUCAGGAAAAUUUUGAUUGUAAAGAAUAAGGAGAGUUGGGUGCCAUAGCUCAUGUCUGUAAUCCCAGCACUUUGGGAGGCUGAGGUGGGCAGAUCUCAAGGUCAGAAGAUCGAGACCAGCCUGGCCAAAAUGGUGAAACCCCAACUCUACUAAAAAAUAUAAAAAAUUAUUGGUGGCACAUGCCUGCAAUCCUAACUACUUGGGAGGCUGAGGUAAGAGGCAGCAGUUGCAGUGAGCAGACACUGUGCCACUGCACUCCAGCCUGGGUGACACGGCGAGACUCCAUCUCAAAAAAAAAAAAACGAAUAAGGAGAGAAAGAGAGAGAGAAACAAUACCUCCAACUCUCAAAGAUUGGGUGGUGGGGAAUGUCAGAUACCAGGGAGAAGGGAAUCUAGAGGCCCCCAGCAAACGUACCAGCCUCUCUCUCACCACGUGCCACUGCGCCUCCAGGUACACCCUCCUCGCCCUCAGUGAGAAUAGCUGAAGAGGACCCAUGGGAAGCUAAGCCUGCUUGGUGUUCCAAAUCACGAUCCCUGCACCUGCCUCAGCUGGCUCAGGCACACUCAAUCCUUUAUCUGGACACAGUAUCUCCCACUGACAAGGAGCUUGGACACAGGUUACUGCAAGUGACACCUGCCAUCCUGUGUCAUCCUUGCAAUAGGCCUAUUUGGAAGGCAGGAGCAGCGCUGGUGUCCCCAUUCUACAGAUGAGGAAACUGAGGCUUAGGAUGGGUCAGGCAUUUGCCCAGGCCCACGUUGGAAGUGGCCAAGGCAAGGCCACAGCCCUCAUUGUUCCGGCUUCUUUUCACACUGAGAGUCUCCCUGGAGAGGUCCAGGCUCCCUGUAGGAGACUGCAGAUGUCAUAAGCUUGAAUUUCUGAGCCUACCCCCAUCUGUGCCUCCUCAUGCCGCCCCAAAGGAGCUCUCUGACCAGUGGGAGACACAGAGGACGCACAUGAGCUCUCCUCUCUGCUUUUUUUCUUUUCGUUUCUUUUCUUUUCUUUCUUUUUUUUUUUUUUUUUGAGAUAGAGUCUCGCGGUGUCACCCCAGCUGGAGUGUAGUGACACCAUCUCAACUCACUGCAACCUCUGCUUCCAGAGUUCAAGAGAUUCUCCUGCCUCAGCCUCUUGAAUAGCUGGGAUUACAGGCAUGCGCCACCAUACCCAGCUAAUUUUUGUAUUUUUAGUGGAGAUGGGAUUUUGCCAUAUUGGUCAGGCUGGUGUCAAAUUCCUGCCUACCUCAGCCUCCCAAAGCGCUGGGAUUACAGGCAAGAGCCAACACACCCAGACCUGUCCUUUCUGUUUUGUUUUGGUUUGGUUUGUUUUUUUGUUAAGACAGAGUCUCACUCAGUCAUGCCAUGGUGCGAUCUUGGCUCACUGCAACCUCUGCCUACUGAGUUCAAGCCAUUCUCCUGCCUUAGCCUCCCAAAUAGCUGGGAUUACAGGCACACACCACGAGGCCCAGCUAACUUUUUGUAUUUUUAAUAGAGAUGGGGUUUCACCAUGUUGGCAAGGCUGUUCUUGAACUCCUGACCUCAAGUGAUUUGCCCGUCUCAGACCUCGCAAAAAGCUGGCAUUACGGGCGUGAGCCAUCGUGCCUGGUCUUCUCCUGUCCUUUGAGAGACCAUUUCCACUGUCACAGUUGCUAGCGUCCUAGCUUCAUAGGACUGCACGGCUCCUGCCUCACCAGAGGGUUCUGUAAUACGCGUCAGGUGGUAGGAGUGCUUGGUGUACACAUGCAUGUGUUUGGGCUAGUGCAUCAGUUCAGCUUCUGUGGUGGGGGAAAUAAAGAGAUGCCCCAGAAUGUUGACCACAAAGGGUUAACGCAAACUCUCAGCCACGUCUGACUCUGAGAAGGCCAAAGCUGCUUUGCUCCACAUCAGGGAUGCAGCGUGGGCACUGCUUGCUGGCAAAUCAGCUCCCAAACUCUCAGGUUCUGCAUCGCAGAACCAGAAGAGGGUCCCUGGUGUCUCCCUUGGCUUUCUGGAUAUAUCCAGCUGGGUGGUUUUGUGCUACCCAUGAAAGCAGCAGGGCAUUAAACAUUUGAGCUGGGAUCGGAGGAGAGCAGAAAGAAGUCUGUGUGUGUGCGUGUGUUUGUGUGUUUGUGUGGAAGUAUAAAAACCCCGCGCCUGUGUUCUCCCCAGAGUAUUAAUUACAGCUGGAGAGGAGACUUGUCCAGGCGUGUUCCGCUUGGGCAGAGUAAUUUCUCCCUGGUUUUCGGGGAGCGGGAGGCGUCACGGUGCAGAGAGCAGGACACACACCUCUCUCCCCGGCUUCAUGGCCACCCGGCCUGCUCUGGAGCGGACAGCUUUGCCAAGGCCUGGGCCAGAGGGAAUGCAGAGAGCCUGCAGAUAGGGCCAGGGAGGACAGGCAAGAUAGUGAGCCCUUGACAGAAUCCCACCUAAGACAGAACAGGCAACAAGAGAGGCCUGUGAGCGGCUUAGGAGGAGGAGGAGGCCCAGCUCCCUGUGAUGGAGGAAGGGCAGGGAAGACAUGAGCCCCCAGCCAGCCUGGCUGCCCACACCUAGGUCCUUCUGCCCCUGCAGGCCUUGCACUGAUGCCAACUGCCGGAGGGAUUCACAGGGGAAGGGGGAGGUCCACAGAGAAGGCCGGUGUGAUCCCUAUUGGUGUCUGAAAAGCUGCAGUACCUAUCUGCUCCCUGCUAAGCAAAGUGGAGGACCCUGCACAGUGAUGGCUACAAUUCAGGACCUCGCUGGCCUCGGCAUGACCAACACAGAGGCCCGAGCACACCUUCCCCUGCCCUGGAUUCCUCCCAACCUCGCUGGACACUGAGGCCACCUGCCUGCGUCCCUGGGGCUGGUCGGGGCCUCCCGGAGUGCUUGGCCUCUCGGCCAUCUCAUGUGUCCAGUUACAAGCCAUAGAGCAGAGGGUGCCCCUGCCAGUCAGUCUCCCCACGCCGCCAGUUCCAGGCAGCCUCCCCAUGCUGCCAGCCCCAGGCAGGUGACCGUGAGCCAGGCCCCGUGCUGAGUCCUUCUCGAUGGCAGAGUCCUCAGUGGCACGAGUGACCUGUUCCUCUUGUGAGCACACACGACAUGCUGGAGAUGCAGAGGAGCCGGACACAGCCUCUGCCCUGAGUGAGCUCAGGCUCAAACAGCACUCGCCCCUCCCGGGGGUGGGCUGGAUUUCUGACAUCCAUGGGGCACCUGUGUCUGGUCUAUGGGAUUAAAGGACACCAGCCCAGGAAGAAAAGGGGAAGGCACUCAGAAACUGAGGCCCAACCUGCCUCUGCAGGUGUUCCCGGCCGGCCACUGCUUCACUGCGUCUCUCGGGACUUACUUUGUCUUACUCUGCUGGAAUGAGCCCCUGGGGACUCAGCACACAGAACUGGUGGUCUCAGCCAAAGCCAGCAAGAAGUCUCCGUGGCUCCUUUGCUGGGAGUCUAGCCUGCCAACUGGCUGGCGCUUGCAGAUGAGUUAGAGGGAGAGGGAAGGAGGGAGAGUGAGAAGGGAGCGAGGCAGGGUUGGAAGCACCGCAGCCUUCUGCUGCUUCUGCAGAUGCUCCGUGCAGGCCAGAGUGAGAGGUCACUGUCCAGAAUGCUGAGUGGGUUCCCCCAGGCCUGCCAGGUCCCAGAGCCUCCCGAGCAAUCUGGGAGAGCCAGAAUCUGUCCUUAUCCCGUCUCACGCUGGUGGAAAAUUUACCAGCCUCGAGCUCCCUCUUUCCUAACUCACAUACCUGCAAAUGCCCAUGUCCCUUGAUUAGUGGUGACUUUUUUAUCCAGUACCUGUGUGCCAGACCCUCCCCCUUGGUGAUUGCUAAACCACCAUAAUCACCCCAGGAAGGUAGAUGUUGCCAUCCCCACUCUACCAAAAAGGGAACAGAGGCUCAGAGAGGUUAAGUAAUCUCCUCAAAGCUUCCCAGCAGGACAGCAGCUGGUCUGGAAUUUGAGCUCAGGUCUGAGUGUUGCCACAUCCUAGGCUCCUGCCCUGCAGAGUGCUGCCCAGGGCACGCUGGGUGCAGUCACAGACCCCAUGCAUUCUCUUGGCCACGGUGGGAAGGAUAGACAGCAGGCGACUGCUAAUCAGGCCAGGAAGCCACCCCCACCUCCCCGUGAACAGCAGCCCUCACAAAAUCCUCAGGCUGAGCGGAGAUAGUCGUGAGGUUCAUCUUUAGACACCUGGCCCACCUCUUGUUCAGGGAAUGCGCUGCUGGGGGUGAUGCUAGAACUGCAAAACUCCAAGUUGGACCAUGCUCCUCCUCUGCUCCAAAUCCUCUUGUGACUCCUACUUCUCCUGGAGAAAGGCCAAAGUCCUCACAGUACCCUCCCAUAUAAGACCUCCUAUGAUCUGACCACCUGUCCCACUGCUGCCUGCUCACUCUCAUUACUCCAGCCCAUGGGCCACCUCACUGGUUCCCUGAAUAACUAGACACAUCCCCAUGAUGUGGAACGCCCUCUGCCAGGGGUAUUUUUUGCUGGAAUAUUCUCCCUAGAGAGCCUGAGAUCCCCUUCUUUGGACUCAUCCAGAUGGGCCUGAACAUCACCUCAUCAGUUACGCCCACCCUGACCACCUGGCUGAACACUGCAGCCCCCUCCUCUGCCCUCCCAGACCCCCACCCUACUUCCCCCGCCACUAUCACCCUUUGACAUGCAAGAGGAUUUUCUAAUUAAUUAUGUUUGUUGAUUUUCCUCCCCGGUACAGGAUAAAGCACCGGAGGGCAGGAAAGUUAGCCUGUUUGGUUGAAAGCUGGGUCCCUUGUGUGGAACAGCGCCCAGCCUGCAGUUGGCACCCCACACACAUUUGUGGAUUUGUUGAUGAGGCAGAAGGGACCCAGCAGCCCCCUGCCCAGUUGGGGUCCAUUGGUCCUCGAGGCACAGACACACACUUCCCUUGGCUACAAGGAGUUCCAGAGUCAAUCCAGCAACCAAGCACCCAGCUGAGCACUUACAGAAUUGAUCCAGGGGGCCCGAUGCGUGGCUCACACCUUUAAUCCUAGCCCUUUGGGAGGCCAAGGCCGGCAGAUCACUUGAGGUCAGGAGUUUGAGACCAGCUUAGGCAACAUGGUGAAACCCUCCCUCUACUAAAAAUACUAAAAUUAGCCAGGUGUGUUGGUGCAUGCCUGUAAUCCCAGCUACUUGGGAGGCUGAGACAUGAGAAUCUCUUGAACCCGGGAGGUGGAGGUUGCAGUAAAGCCAAGAUGGUGCCAUUGCCACUCCAGCCUGAGUGACAGAGUGAGACCCUGUCUUAAACAAAAAAAGAAUGGAGUGGGGUAAGAGCAGUGCUGGGGAGGGGGCUGGCCAGUGAGUGAUGCCCGGGGAGGGAGCUUGAGACUGGGAGAUGGCCGAACUUUCCAAAGGGGAAGAGAGGCUGACAGUGCGUACCAUGUGGGCUGUGUACUUGCUGGUCUCCUUUCAUUGAGGACUGGAUGAUAGGGGCGUGUUUCUCGGAGGUGACGUGUGAAUGGUCAAAGGGCACUGGCUCCUGGGGUGUCUCUAACGGUGUGCCACAAGCCUCCGUUCUCAACCCCGUCUUAGUCACGCCUUUUGCCGGCGGCUUAUGUAACCUGUUAGUAGGUGUGAUGAUCAAAUUGUGAUCGGUCUGCUGAUGAGAGGAAUAGCUAACAGUUCGCCUGGUCUGCAGCCUAGCGCCAGAGGUGCGAUUAACUAUAUGUAACAAGUCUAACUGUAAAAUCUUGCUCUGAGUUCCAAAAACACUAGUGGGAUGAGUACAGGAGGAAGAAGACUUAGGGGCUACCAUUGAUCACAACUUCAGGACAGUUAGAGAGACUGGAAGACUAUCCUUCAAACUGGAGCGCUGUUAACCAUUACGGUGUAAACCAGUCGUGUCCCGGGAAACCCGGAUGCAUCGUGACUCCAGGGAUAAGUGGCUGCCAUCCAAAGCUGCUUCUGUUUAGAUGGCAGAGGUGAGGUCUGCUCCCAAUCACUGGAAGGGAUCCCUGGACCUCAGAGCCACCUGGAAUGUUAGGUUCACCCUGGAGUUCCCAGCCAGGGCCAGGAGAUAUUUCGUAGCCAAGUGGAAAAGAUGAGGUGGAUGUCCAAACACACCCUAAGGGAAACGGCCCCAGGUACCAGUUCUGUGUGCCCAGACCAGGAAAGAGCUGGUUGGUCUGUCUUGGAAAGUUCAAGGGCCCGCCUGGCCUGUGGAGGAGGAAGGCCACGCAAUGCCUGUGGCCUCAGAUGGUGGAACUAAGAUCAGCAAGGAGAGUCUGGAGGAGAUGAAUUUCAGGCUGCUUAAAAGAACUUCUGAAGGUGACAGCUGGCAGCCAGGGGGUGGGCCCCCUGAAUUCUCUGUCCUUGGUCCUUGGAGGCAUCCAUGGUGGGGAGGCUGCAGAGGAACUUCCUGUGUCCUGGGAGGGGAGGGGCCAGGUGAGUCUCAGGCUCUUGCUGGCAGUCCUGCCUCGGUGGCCACUGUAUAUUACUGUUUGGGAAGAAGAAUCUGCCCAGAGACUCUUUCGAUCAGGACACACGCAGAGAGUGGGCGAGGUGUGCGGGAGGCAGCAUUCGCAUGGCCUUCCCUCAGCCUGCCGCAUCUUCCCUUCUGCUGUCUCUCUCUGCCCCCCAAUAGACACACCUUCGCCUUGUUCCUCCUGGCCCCUCUCUCGAUGCUGAGGUGGAUUUUCCCUUCCUAAGUCCCCUCUCCUGCUGCUGAAUUAUUGAAAGUGUUGUUUGCUUUAUCGCUGUGCUGGGGUAAGGGACACUGCCGCAGAGCAGCUGAGCUUGGAAUGCAUCGCUGGCCCAGGACAGCUGCCCAGGCCACAGAAUCCCUUCCCCAGAACCCCUCGGUGGGGGAGCAUCCUGCACCCCAGCCCCACUUUCUCCUCCUUCAUCAUUAUUUAUUCAUAACUGCUGGCUUUCUGACCAGACAUGCGGCAUCCUGCCACGUCUCAAGCCACCAGCCUAGAGGGCUGCAGGCAGAAUGUGCAGCAAAUGUCACCACCUGGCCCAGGUACAGGGUCGGGUCUCUGUGCUGGGGUCUACAGGGACCAGCUGAGACCUCCAGGGCAUGUAUGGAAGUGUUCUGUCCACUGGGGGUUGCCCCAGCGGGGCUGCCACAUUGGUACAUUUCUAGAGAAAGGUACAUUUCCUGCAUGCAGAGGUGUGUGUGUGAUCACACACGCUAUGCAGCUGUGUGUGUGUGCAGGAGAUAUCAGGGCAUCCAUGCAUGUAUGUGUCCAGAUGUACAUGCAGCUGUGUAUGGGGGGGAGUCGUGCGUGUGUGUGUGUGUGUGUGUGUGUGUGUGUGUGUGUGUGCAGGGGAUAUCAGGGCAUCCAUGCAUGUGUGUGUCCAGAUGUACACGCAGCUGUGUGUUGGGGGGCGUCAUGUGUGUGUGUACAGAUACACGUACAGUUGCAUGUGUGGUCUGCUGUUGCCCCAUGUCCACUCCAAGUGUGGAUUUUUAGAGCAGAAACCCUGGAACUUAACUUGACAGAGGUCUUGCCUGUGAGCUCAUUUCUCUGGAGAGGGUGAUGGAGUGGCCACCCUAGAACUUAGAGGAUCCAGGAGACAGGCAGCUUGCUCAAGGCAGACACGCCAUAUGGGCAGGACCCCAGUGCAUGCAGGAAAAGGUAGCACAACCACACCUCCACACCCCAAAGGCGCAGCCUGGGAGAUUCACCACUGUCUUCUCAGACCCUCCAGACUGGAGCCCAGGGGCACAGGAUCCAGAGGAAACUGCUUCUUUCUCAGCUGUCCUCUCUAAAGAGCAGCCCACCCCUCGCUCGGCCACCUCUUCAUUCUCUAUUCAGCCCCACAGCCAGCAUUUGGGCAUUUGCACCAUGCUGGCCACCUGAACAUAACAGGUGUGGCUGAGCCUCUACCCUCUAGGAGCUGCCCAUGUGCCCAGGGCAGGGCCAGCCCAGUCCACAUGCAAUGACCAGGCCGUGUGUGAGGGGACAGGAAGGAGGGGCUCACGACCAUCUCUGGCAGGCACUGCCAUCCUGUGAGCUUUCUGAGCCCAAAGCUCAGCUUUCUGGACAUAUGCAGGGGGAAAUGUGGCUGCAAGGGGCCACAGAACACCACCCAGAGUCUCCAGUGCAGGGGAUUGUGCCAGCUCAGGCUCCCCAGACCUCUAGCCCUUUGAAAAGAACAGGAGAUAGGAACUUCCCCAAGCAACCCUGGAGCAGGGCUGGCCCUGCCGCCCCAGUUUGGACAUGAGGACACUGAGGCAGAGAGCAGUGACGCGGCCCACAGCCUGCAAGGCUGGCAGCAGCAGGCUGGGUUUAGAUGGAUCUCAGGCCUCUGUACCUUCUGGCCAGGGCUGCUUCCUUGGCAUGAGCUGGCACAAAGUGUUUGAUCCCCAGGGAGCCAUAAAGGUCCUUAGACCUGCUAGAAAUCAGGCAGCAGGUCCCUAGGGCAUCGGCUCUGGUGGACACCUGCUUUCCCACCCCCGCAGUGUUUGUGGCUGGUGGAGGUUUUCGGGCAGUCUCAUUCUAGAGCUUGCAAUGUGAGCAGAGGAUGCUCUGCCUUCUGGUAUUCCUCUCAUACUUCUGCCCUCUGCACCCUCCCCAUCUGCACCCCCACCCUUGCCCGCUUCCACCAGGCAUCUGUGUCAGCCCCACAGACUCAAAGCUGAAGAUGCUGCCUGCAUCCCGGCGCUGCCCCUGGGCUUGCCCAGCCAGGGAGCUAUGGGUGGGGGCCUUGGAGGGGAACCAGAGAGCAGAGCCAGAGGCUCCAGUGGCCGACCCCCACCUCCUCCUUCCCAGCUGGCCCUCCUUCCACUCAGCCAGGUCCCCAGUGGAGGAGUGACAGGGUGGGGGACCUGUGUGGAUCUGGGGUGAGCACUCCCUGAGGACGAUCGUGAAUUCGCCUGGACCCCACCUUACCGCAGCUGGACACGGUUGGGUUGGGAAACCCAAGUCACCCUUCAGGGAAAGGAAGUCCUGGGUGUUCAGUCUGGGGCUGGCCCCUGAGGCCACCAGCCCAGGGCCAAGGGGGACAGGGCUCUCCAGAGGGAAGAGUGGAAGCAUGAGAACUAGCAGAGCAGGGGCGUCGGACUCCUCACAGCCGCCCACCCUCAGCCCCCAACAUGAACGGGCCUCUGGGCCUCAGUGUUUCUUGUUGGAAGAAACUCUGAAAACCAUAGAAAGAAGUCUCUCUCAUCUCUUCAAAGAGCAGGUGACAGCACACGGGCUCUGGCCCUCAGGCCGAUGGUGGAGCGGCCUCCCCACCUGGCCCUGGGGCUGGGUCACUGGGUGUAUGCAGCACAUGGGUGGCACUGGCCAGAGACAAUGGGCUGUAAGCAAGGCAGGUUGGCUGGGAGGCUCCUGUCCACACAGCUCAGCCAGCAUGGGCCUUUCAGCAGCGCUAAGCAGAAAUCCCCACUGCAGGGCGGUGAGUCCCCAAAGGCCCCGGCCCCCAGCAGCAUGGGUUAGUGGAGAAGGCACCCAAGUCCCUCUUGGAUAGGGCGUCCUGGAAAAUGCUGAGGCAGGACAGACGUUAGACGCAGACUCUCCGGCAGGCGGCCCCACCUCCCUGCAAUCCACCCUCUCACCCCCACUGCACCCAAUGCACAUUCAACUUCUGCGCCUUGUCUCUGAUUGGCCCAUGCUCCAGGCCUAGAGAGCUGCGCCACCCCACCUCUGCAGAAGCUGCUCCUCCUCUCUCCCUGCUGCUCCAGACUGGGGGCUGGGGUCUCCAGGCAGUGUUACCUCUCCAUCACUUCCAAAUCUCAUCUCCCACCAUCUGAAGCCAAGAGAGGCCUUCCGAGAAUUGUACUAACCUUCAGUGAAAUGUCCUCCCCAUCCCUGUCCCCAUCCCGUCUCCAUUCCAGUAUCCGUGAGAUCUGCCAGGCUGGAAGGUUUGUGCCACCCGCCCCCCACCCCCCCCUGUGUCCCCUCCUUGGCGAGCGCUGGAGUUAGGACACUGUAGCUCAACUCCGAGCAGAGAUCUGGACAGCAGAAAUGUCCAGGAUGGGGCAGUGCCAGGCAGGACCCCAUCGAUGAGCGAGCAGAGAGCAGGCAAGGAGCUGAGCAACCUGGGGAAAUAAACCGACAGAGGCAGAGACACAGGGAGGGGUAGAGGACCUAGAGUGAGCAGGAGCGAGCUGGAGGACCCAGAGUGAGCAGGAGCGAGCUGGAGGCAGGGAAGAGAAUCGCACUUGCUAAGACAGCUGCAAGUGACAGCUAAACUGAGCGCCAGUGUGGGGGGACCGAACCCCCACCCCACCAACCUGCCUCCAGCCGCUGCUCCCCUGAUUGGGUCUUGUCCCCGCCUCCCCAGGAGCCUGCCGUGGAGCCGCAGUUCCAAAAUGAUGAUGUAUUUUUGGGUAUGUACCAAGCGUGGACUGCGUGUUGCUUUUUCACUCUGGGCAGAUCUGGGGCUGAGAUGUUGGGAGGGUCAGCGUGCCCACACCCCCCCGCCGCCGUGCCUCCCCAGGCCAUGCCGGCCUUUCCCCCAGGGCCCAGCAGGCAGGGGUGCAGUCGGAGGUGUCCCCAGGCAGGGAGCGCUCGCUGGCUUUCGGCCACUCUUCUGGGUGGGCCUCGGAUGUAGAAGGUGGGGCUGAGACAGGGGGCUGCGCCCAGGCUCCAGAAAUGCCGGCAGGGGUUACGCUAGCCCAGCCCUCUCUGGGCGAUUCCUCGGCCUGGUCUUAAAGGAAAACCUUGGCAAAUUCCCCCAGCCCAAACUUUAAAUGGCUCCCAGGAACCCAGCACACCAGCCCCAGCCCCACGAGCUCCCCUCCUCCUUAUCCUGCACCUUUACUCUUCCCCUUCCCAUUCAAAAUCAGGUGUGGGAAACUGGACCCUGGGAAGGAGGAAAGGAUCACCCUGCUAGGCGGAGCCGGCCUCCCGGGGCUCUGAGCCCAGACAGGAGCAGCUUGCAGAGGUCCUGGGGAGAGGAAGUGCCCCCACCCUUCGGCCUCCCCCACCUUCCUCUGCAAGCCCCUGUGCCUUUUGGCAAAGGAAAUGAAAGAACAGAGUAGGGGUGGGAAGGGGCAGCACCUGACAAGGCCAAACAGGAAGGGGCCUCACUGUGAGGGGAGGACCAGGCCAUCCUAAUUCAGCUGGGCAGAACUAGGAGAAGGAAAGGUUUAGGGUGUGUGUGUGUGUGUGUGUGUGUGUGCACAUGCUCACACUUUGGAGAAGGCUGCAUAUCCCGGGAUCAUCAGCCUCUAGGCUUGCACAGAGGUGGUUUGGAAAUCGUGAAUUUCCUGUGCUUUCCAUGUAGGGUGAGUGUCUCCCCUGGCCCAGCCAGCAGCCUCAGCCCAGGAACACGACCCAGGCAGGGGCCACCCAUAUCCGGGUACCUCUUCCUCCAGGUUGCCCUCCCAGGUCCAGACAUGACCUGCUCUGCAACUGGGACUCCCCAGCCACAGUCCAGCCCUGUCACCAGGAGGAGGACUCAAGGUCCAGGAGCCCCACUGGGAGAGCCUGAGCCUGCACAGGUGCCUGUGAGGCCCACACCAAGCAGCUGGACCAUGGGCCAAGCAGGGGUCUGCAGAGCAGGCUGAGGCUUACAGAAGCCACGGCAGCCUCUGAGAAGGGCUGAUGGCCCCCGGGAGUCUGAAUGGCCAUGGUCAGGCUCACCACCUGUCACCCCACAGGCUGAGCUCUGCUGACUUCGCUCCCAUUCAGGGCAAAAUUGGGGCCAGGUGCCCCAGCCUCCGAGUCUGCACAAAGGCCUUUGUUCCACCAAGAAUGUCCUGACAUGUCCCACCAGUCCCCCUCCUCAUUCUUCAAGGCCAGCCUCAGGGGCCACUUCCCCAAAAACAUUCCCUGAACCCACAGGCAGAAUGGACUACUGUUUCCCGGCCUCCCCCAUCUCAGCUCCCUGUCCUGACCUGGCAUAUGUGAGCUGGCCCAGGAGCCCCUUCAGAGCCCGGAGGGGGCUUCCCUCUCUGGUGGGGGUCUGGUUGCCUGGCUCCUCUGGGGGUCUGGCUCCCAGAAUGCCCCCUCUCCCCAGCAGAGGUUCUGCCUGUCCUCAGCCUUGCUCAGCCAAGCCCUGGGGCCAGGCCAGGCUCCUCUGCUGUACCUUGCAGGCUAUUUAGGAUGGGGUGGAACCUGAUCAGGAACCUCAUCUACCCGGGAGCCAGCUCCCCAGCUCCACUUCCAGGCUGGGAUUCGGAGCUGGACAGAGAACCGGGCCCCCACAGAAGGACCCUCCUUCUCGCCUGCUCUCCCUCCCUGAGCCAUGUCACCACCCCAGUGUGGGAGACGACACCGAGACGCUGCCACCCGCCAGGCCCCCUCACAGCCUCACCAGCGCCAUUCCUGUUGUCCACCUGGUGCCCACACACUCCUCAAAUUCACACUCAAAACGGAGCCUUGAAAAUUGCUGUUUCCUUCAGAUUGUCUCCUCCAUCCUUGCCCUGCCCAUCACCAGUGGGUGCCACCAUCUGCCCGACCCCAGCUCCUGGGGUGGGUCCUGCCUCCCUCUUGCCCACCCCCAACUUCCCACUCAGCUUCCAGGCCCAUCCCCAGCCCCACCUGCCCCAACCAACAAGGAGCGCCAACUUCUCCCCACCCUGCCCUCUCAGCUCCACCUCACCCGCACCUCCUUCCAGCCCUUCCCUAAGCACCGUGGGCCAGCCAAGCUGAGCUGCUCCAAGGUAAAUCCCAACAUCUGCCGUGUUCUCCCUCAGGCUUGUUCCACCUAAAAAAAACUCCCUCCCUCCCACCCUACCCCCCUUAGCUGGCUCCUGCUUAACUUCAGAGUGAGCUUUCAGGCAGGGGGACACUAGGGGCUGCUGCAGGCAUGGAGUCAAAGGCUGCUUAGCUGUCACCAUCUCCAGGAAGCCCUCCCAGAGCAUCCCGCAGCCAAUGUCAUUUCCCCCUCUGCACCCCUGCCCUCAUCCUUGGGUGCUCCUGUUACCGUUCACCCCUCCACCUCCCCUCUGCCGGUAGCUCCCUUGAGCUCCCUUGCCGGGUCUUAUUCAGUUCUUGUUCCACGUACCUGCUCUGUGUCUGAUGUUUGGCUGAGGUUCUGGGAACCCUGAACAGUGAAAUGAAUAAGUGACUGAAUAAGGAAAUGAGUCUUCCGAGUGCAGGAAGGGGCCUGGCCAAGGUGUUCCCUGCAGCAGUGGCUCUGUAGGGCUCCCCACUCAGGUGCAGCCUCCUCUCCCAUCCCCGAAUGAGCAUGUCUUCACCUCCUAUGGGCGUAGCUUUUCAAGUGCAGCACUGGAGAUAUUGCCGCUCCCGUUUCCAAACUGGCAAAAGUUGUGGCCGAUGAUUUCUGUGCUUGUGAAGGGGGGGCCUGGCCUUGGCAAAGCAGGGGUUGGGUGCAGGGAGGAACCUGCCCCAGGCCCUUUCAGCUUGGUGGUGUAGGGAGGCAAGAGGGGGUGUGGAGGUCACUGCGGUUCUGUGAGAGAGGCCCGAGGUGGGGGGCCUGCCUGCUUUGGGGGCAUCUCUGCCUUUGGAUGGUUCAUCUGGGGACACCCCCUGGAGGAGGGCUACCACCCCGACAGGGAGACAGGGGUCUGGGGGGUAAAAUGGCUCCUGGGGUCUGGACAGUAGGCCCAGUGCUAGAGGCAGGGGACUCGUGUUCCUCAGGCCUUCCCUGGGAUCUGGCUCUGCCACUCGGCAGCUGUGUGACCCUGGACAGGUCGCCAGGUCUCUCUGAGUCUCCGGUGGCUCCUCUGUAAAGUGAGAUCGCAACGCCAGUGUGCAGGCUGGGUGAGAAUUACUGUUUGCAUGUUCCAUGCCCGGUCAAGCAGGACAGGGAUAUUUGCCAGCAGGACGGGGGGACCCCAGGGUGAGUGGGCACGAGACUCUUGUCACCCACCUGGGUUCUGCUCACUGCCACAGAGAAGCCCACACCAGCUAUGGGGCCUGUGCUCUUGGUCUGGAGGGCCACAGUACCUUCCUCCCUGCAGGAGAUGGGUUCAGCCCCACGUGCUUCUCUUCUUCCUCCUUUUCCACACUCCCAGCCCCUGGCCUCAUGCUGGUCCUGCCUCUAAGCUGCUCCUGGAACACCCCGCCCCUCCUUCCUACCUGCCCCCAGUCCAUCUCUGCUCCAGGCCCUCCAAGUGGUCCCAGCCCAGGAGACCCCUCCCCGCCUGCUGUGUGGUCUCCGCCUUCUUCUGUCAAUGGCCACCACUUUCUCACGUGGACCACAUGUCCUAAGAACAUGGCACACGGCAGAGACCAUUGUGGCUCUCAGAACCUCCUCACAGAUGGCUCCUCAGCUCACCUCACCAACACCGGGGAGGCAAACAGACUGGGCUGCUCUCCCCACGAGGAGCCACAGAGGUGGCAGGGAUGUAUUCAGGUCACCAACUCAACUGUGAGGUCCAGAACAAGAACCAGGCCUCCAAAGCCCAGUCAGUUGCAUCUUGACCCCUGCUGGGCCAAGGACCCUUGGGGACAGGGGACAAGUGCUGGACCCCUGGGUGAUCCCAAGACCAUCAGCUCCAGCCCUGCCCCUACUGCUUGAGAGGCUACCGGAUUAAACCUGACACCGGCUCUGCCCUCCAUUCGGGGAGCCCUCAGGAUGACAUCCAAAUGCCUACACCAGUGUCCACAGCCGCUAAUGGCUUCCCACUGCCUUAGAGAGAAAAGCAAAGGACACGCUGAGCCCGGCCAUGUGACCAGCAUACACCAAGGUGCUGAGUGCUUCGCUUCAGGGCAGGCUGAGAGAGGGCUGUGCCCAGCAUGGCAUAGCUGCCCACAGCAAAGCCAGGCAUGGGGACACAUUCCUGCUGGGCCUCUGCCCCGACAUCCUCCCCCGGCCCCACCCCAGGCCUUGUCCUACGUCCAGCCCUGCACAGCCUUUGGGGACCAGUUUGUUCCCCCACUUGCUGUUCCUUGCCCUUCCCUCCCAUCUUCUGUGAGUCCCUGCACACCAGGGCACCUGCCUUACCCAGGGCACUGGCAGACGGUGAGCCCCAUGUGGGCAGGAAAUGAGGCUGAGCGGUCGGUGGUUCCAGCAGUACCCUGGAAAGGGGAGAGCUUGGCAAGGACUCAAGGAGCAGAUGGAGAAGGAAGGGAGGUUGGCGGGAGGCAGGGAGCAUGUUGACAGUGGUACGUUCUCAGCAUGGCAGAGCAGGGACCACGCCUCUGAGCAUGGGCAGGGCACUCUCCAGAGGUGGCUCCUACCAGGGAACAUCCAUGGGUCUGGAAACCAGUGUGACUCUUCGGUUGACAGGGGCUGCAGCCCAGAGCAAAGGCUCUCCCUGCCCUCCACAGCCUCAGUACUGCUGGGCUCAGCUCAGAGCUGCAGGAGGGCGGCAUGUGCAGUUCAAGGCCUGGGAGCUUCUGCCGGGGCCCUGCAGCGGCCAGCACCUCCCUCUUCCCCCAGAGCCUACCGGAUGGGACAAACAGAUGGUGCUGGAAGACAGCCUGGGGCGUGUGAAAAUCUCUCUGCCCAGGAAGGGGAAGGGGAAGGGCAGGGAGCCCGCGUGGGCUAGUGUCACUCCCCAAAGCCCUGCAGCCACCAGGUCUUUCAGGGGCAGGAGAGACGGGUGUGGGGGCAGCACCAGUGGGUGGCUUCAUAAUUGACCGGCACCAGGCAAAGAUGCCAAAGCAGAGCAUCUCCAAAUUAGCAGUAAUUGCCAGAGAAAUAAAGAACAAACAGGGUGAGCUGAAUGAGGCUUUCCAUAAAUAUUAUGUUUUUUAAAGUUUGCCCUGGAGUAAUAGAAGCUGUUUAAACGCUAAUAUCCUGUCUGUGCAUUUAAAAAGCCUUGUAAUGAGGAUUGAGUGUCUGUUUCCUAGGGCCACCUAGUACUGGAGCCCCCAGGCCUCCGGCCUCUGCUCCUUGGUUUCCCAGAUGGCCGCCCUCCCAUGAGUCCGGAGAAUACCCCUCACCUGGUCCAGACCCCGCUUCAGCCCCACCUGGGAGCCUAGGCCCCUCCUGCCUCUCCCUGGACAGCCAGAGCCAACCCCUCCUGCUUCCUCUGAGACCCCAGAUGUCCCUGCCACUUGCCCUGCCCUAUGGAGCCCCUCUUCCCCAUUUCUUCUUCUCCUCCCUGGGUGCCAGGGUGGGUGGGCAGCAGCAUCCUCCCAGUCACACUGAUCCAGUGUGUUCGCCUCACUAUCCUCUAGAAGAGAGCCCCACACCCACCUGCGGGCGGGAGAGCUUGUCUAACUAAUGACGAGACAGGGCUUUCCUCCAGGAGGCCCCUCCACAACCAUGUCUGAUUUUUAUUAAAAAUCAUUAAGCAAAGUGUUUUUCCAUGCCGGCAACCAGCACAGCCACUUUCCCAUUGUGAGACAGCCCUGUGCAUCGACAGAGAGGUAGACUUUAUCAGGGGCCUGGAACCCACGGUGGUAAAGCUCUGGUGAGGGCCACUUCCCAGAGAGAGGUCCAUCAUGGGUCACCCAAGAAGCUCACUUAAUCCGUUUAUUUCAGCCCCUCCGGCCUGGGCAGGGCAGUGCCAUGCGAGGGUCGGCUGUGGCCCGCUGGGCCACCCAACAUCCGCCCCGGCACCACCUCGAAAACAGAAGCAGGUCUGAUCUGCUGAGCGUUUCGGGGCUGUUGCCACAGGUCACAGGCAGCACUCAAGGUCCUGGCUUCCUCCACAUCCGCAAUUCCCAAAACCCAGCGGUGCCCAGUACAGAGUGGCGGGGGAGACCCUCUGGGCUUGUGCAUGGGGUGUGGCCGGCUGGAAAGUCAGGUUUCCCGUGACAUUCGCAGCCCGUCAUCCUUGGAGUACACAUGUUCGCAAAGUUAUAUCUGGUAGGGGUUGAAGACAAGAGGAGAGAUUUGAGCCAUCAGUCGGUCAGCGUUGUUGGCGGUGCCGAAUGGAUACACCCUAUAAGGUGCAAAGUGGCCUGAGCCGUAACAGUCCCCAGGAAGGCUCAGGAUGUCCAAGAUGGAAGGACUUGGGAAAUCUCACCAAGCAACAAGCGUGUGGGUAAAGGGGAGGGCG
Molecule: RNA transcript, 43575 nt
Organism: Callithrix jacchus (white-tufted-ear marmoset)
Lineage: Eukaryota; Metazoa; Chordata; Mammalia; Primates; Cebidae
Gene: RBFOX3
Gene name: RNA binding fox-1 homolog 3
Source: RefSeq, a predicted model, not a curated record